AGGCAAUGUAUGUAUGUCUGAGAUUGACAUCAUUGUAACCAUUCAGCAGAUAGUAGCACUGAGCCAUGGGUUGAUAAUGUUUUUCAAUAUCUGUCCUUUUCAAAGAACAUCAACGCAUGUCAAAAUAUUCCUGACGCAGCUGCUUGCUAUACAGUGAGGCGUCUCAAAGGAAUUCAGCAAAGAUAGCAUUAACGGCUUGUAUGACAUUUAGAUGACAAAACUGGGCUUUGUGAUAUUCUCUAAUGGAAG
Molecule: unclassified non-coding RNA, 249 nt
Filed under: Hevea brasiliensis (rubber tree)
Lineage: Eukaryota; Viridiplantae; Streptophyta; Magnoliopsida; Malpighiales; Euphorbiaceae
Source: RNAcentral